GGAUGAUGUGGUAUUAAUUCGAUGCAACGCGAAAACCUUACCUACCCUUGACAUACCACUAACGAAGCAGAGAUGCAUUAGGUGCCCGAAAGGGAAAGUGGACACAGGUGCUGCAUGGCUGUCGUCAGCUCGUGUCGUGAGAUGUUGGGUUAAGUCCCGCAACGAGCGCAACCCUUGCCGAUAGUUGCUACGAAAGGGCACUCUAUCGGGACUGCCGGUGACAAACCGGAGGAAGGUGGGGAUGACGUCAAGUCCUCAUGGCCCUUAUGGGUAGGGCUUCACACGUCAUACAAUGGUCGGUACAGAGGGCUGCCAACCCGCGAGGGGGAGCUAAUCCCACAAAACCGAUCGUAGUCCGGAUUGCAGUCUGCAACUCGACUACAUGAAGUCGGAAUCGCUAGUAAUCGUGGAUCAGCAUGUCACGGUGAAUACGUUCCCGGGUCUU
This 445-nucleotide ribosomal RNA is filed under the name uncultured Alcaligenaceae bacterium. Its description in RNAcentral is "bacterial SSU rRNA". It matches the Rfam family "Bacterial small subunit ribosomal RNA", at positions 934 to 1382 of the family's 1533-position model. Lineage: Bacteria; Pseudomonadati; Pseudomonadota; Betaproteobacteria; Burkholderiales; Alcaligenaceae. The record is from RNAcentral.